This 1809-nucleotide long non-coding RNA is filed under the name Nicotiana benthamiana. RNAcentral describes it as "long non-coding RNA (NBEN_LNC010909)". The record is from RNAcentral. Lineage: Eukaryota; Viridiplantae; Streptophyta; Magnoliopsida; Solanales; Solanaceae.
AUUCCUUAAACAGAUGCUGGUUGAUCUUGGAUUUCCUGCAAGUUUGUGGAUUGGACUAUGGCUUGUGUUUCAUCUGUGACUUAUUCUUUAGUGAUUAAUGGGGGUCUCACUAAACCAUUUCAAGCCAGAAGGGGUAUUAGGCAAGGAGAUCCUAUGUCUCCUUACCUAUUUGUUAUUGCAAUGGAAUAUCUUAACAGAACUCUGAAUCAGUUACAUAAGAAGGGGUAUUAGGCAAGGAGAUCCUAUGUCUCCUUACCUAUUUGUUAUUGCUAUGGAAUAUCUUAACAGAACUUUGAAUCAGUUGCAUAAGAAUGGUGACUUUAACUUUCAUCCUAGAUGCAGGAAACAAAACUGCUCCUAUAUUUGCUUUGCAGAUGACUUGUUGUUAUUCUGUAUUGCUGAUAUAACUUCUAUUCAAUUACUGCAUGAUGCAUUCUUAACAUUCUCUGCAGCAUUUGGACUUUCUGCUAAUAAGUCUAAGAGUGCUGUAUAUUUUCCUGGCAUAUCUCAGAAUGAAAAAGAGGCUAUUCUAGAGGCUUUGGGGUUCUGUGAAGGGCAUCUUCCAUUCAAGUACUUAGGCAUUCCAUUACACUCAAAGAAGUUAAAUAUACAUCACUAUUUGCCACUGAUUGAGAAAAUCACUUAUAGGAUUUCAUGCUGGUCUGCCAAAUUCCUGUCUUAUGCAGGCAGGUGUCAACUUAUCAAAUCGGUAUUAUUUGGGGUCCAAACCUAUUGGUCUCAGAUUUUUAUCUUGCCCAAGAAGGUGGUGAAAGCAAUUGAAGCUAUAUGCAGAUCUUUCCUUUGGACUGGCAAUGGAACAGUGUCCAGAAGAUCAUUGAUAGCUUGGGACAAAAUAUGCGGACCUGUCACUGCUGGAGGAUUAAAUGUUAUUGAUAUCCAGACUUGGAACAAAGCUGCUAUUUCUAAACUGCUAUGGAAUUUAGCUAGAAAAAAGGAUUGCCUAUGGAUCAAAUGGAUUCACUUUUACUACAUAAAAGGUGAUGACAUUGAAACAAUGGCUAACCCAAAAAAUGCUUCAUGGGUAGUCAGGAAAAUAAUAGAGUGCAGGAUUCCUAUUAUGGCUGACAACAUUAUGCAAGGGGAUCUUUUGUUCAGAUUAUCAAGUUUGUGUAAAGCUGGAAAGUUUCAAAGACAUUCUCUUUACAACUCUUUGCUUCCAGUUUUUCCUAGGGUGGAGUGGAAGAACUUAAUGGCUACAACUAAUGUCUUGCCUAGACAUAAGUUUACUGAAACAGUGUUAAACUUACAGAUCUUUGGAAGAACUUAAUGGCUACAACUAAUGUCUUGCCUAGACAUAAGUUUACUGCAUAGAUGGCUGCUCAUGGUCGACUGCCCACAGUUGACAGAUUGCUGAAGUUUGGUAUAAAUGUAGAAGAAAAAUGUGUAUUCUGCCAACAGGAUAUUGAAGUGUUUGAUCAUCUAUACUUUACUUGUCCAGUUACAAGUAAGAUUUGGUAUAGAGUUUGCUGCUGGUUGGGAUGCAAAAGAACAAUAGGAUGUUGGAAGGAUGAAUUGACUUGGAUUUGCUGCAUUGCUAGAAGUAAAGUGUUUAGAAAGGCUGUAGUAGCCACUGCCUUUGUCACCACAGUGUCAUUGAUUUGGAGAUGCAGAAAUGCUAUCAGAUUUGAGGAGAAACCUUUUGAUGAAAACCUUGUAUGUCGAGAGAUUGCAAUUCUUAUUCAUGCACGAGGCAGGAAAUGCAAGAAAUGGUUAAAGGGGUUGCGACAACUUAAUCAUUAUCCUUAGCUAGUAUUGAAUUGUAAUAGCAGUAUUAAUAGUUUGUGUAUA